CCUUAUGCAAAUGAGUUUUGAUUCUCUUCCCUUUACAAAGUUAAAAUGUGUUUGAGAGUGAAACAGAUCCUUCGGAAUGUGGAUAUUUGAGAUUUUUACCUGGGACAUCUUUUUCUUUCUUUCUUUUCUUUCUUUCGUUCUUUCUUUCUUUCUUGUCAGGCUAUGUUGUACAGCACAGAGUGGAGUGGUGUCAAAUAGAAAAUAAGAAAUGCACUGAAGAGGAGGAAAGAAAAUGAAAGCGAAAAAGCUGAAGAGUGGGGAAAAGAUAAAGUAAUAUGAAUAUUAGGAUUCCACUCCCUUGGAAGAUUGCCAGGCAGCAGAGAGAGAAAACAGGAGUGAGAAAUACUACCGUGCAUCAGAACAUCCUUAAAAUGAACAUCAUGUAUUCUCAGCUUUGAGAACUGAAUUCCAUGGGUUGUAAUUGAAUCUCUGUCAGACCCAUGGGGCUCAGUUCUUCAGCUUGGAUAUCUGUGUCUUCAUAUACACAGGAAAUCAAAGAAUCACUUGAUCAUUCAUUGACUCUUCUGGAUGGCAAUAGCAGAAAAUGGGAAAGAAAAAGAAUAAAUGAUGUGACACUUUUU
Long non-coding RNA from Chelonia mydas (Green sea turtle), 581 nucleotides. RefSeq lists it as uncharacterized. The record is from RefSeq and is a predicted model, not a curated record. NCBI's taxonomy places the organism in Eukaryota, Metazoa, Chordata, Testudines, Cheloniidae. The transcript is spliced from 2 exons.